UACGUAGGGGGCUAGCGUUGUCCGGAAUCAUUGGGCGUAAAGAGCGUGUAGGCGGCCCGGUAAGUCCGCUGUGAAAGUCGGGGGCUCAACCCUCGAAUGCCGGUGGAUACUGUCGGGCUAGAGUGCGGAAGAGGCGAGUGGAAUUCCUGGUGUAGCGGCGAAAUGCGCAGAUAUCAGGAGGAACACCGAUUGCGAAGGCAGCUCGCUGGGACGUUACUGACGCUGAGGAGCGAAAGCGUGGGGAGCAAACAGG
This 253-nucleotide ribosomal RNA is filed under the name uncultured bacterium. Its description in RNAcentral is "partial 16S ribosomal RNA". It matches the Rfam family "Bacterial small subunit ribosomal RNA", at positions 524 to 776 of the family's 1533-position model. The record is from RNAcentral.